GACGAACGCUGGCGGCGUGCCUAAUACAUGCAAGUAGAACGCUGAAGCUUGGUGCUUGCACCGAGCGGAUGAGUUGCGAACGGGUGAGUAACGCGUAGGUAACCUGCCUGGUAGCGGGGGAUAACUAUUGGAAACGAUAGCUAAUACCGCAUAAGAGUAGAUGUUGCAUGACAUUUGCUUAAAAGGUGCAAUUGCAUCACUACCAGAUGGACCCGCGUUGUAUUAGCUAGUUGGUGAGGUAACGGCUCACCAAGGCAACGAUACAUAGCCGACCUGAGAGGGUGAUCGGCCACACUGGGACUGAGACACGGCCCAGACUCCUACGGGAGGGAGCAGUAGGGAAUCUUCGGCAAGGGGCGGAAGUCUGACCGAGCAACGCCGCGUGAGUGAAGAAGGUUCUCGGAUCGUAAAGCUCUGUUGUAAGGGAAGAACGAGUGUGAGAGUGGAAAGUUCACACUGUGACGGUAUCUUACCAGAAAGGGACGGCUAACUACGUG
This 497-nucleotide ribosomal RNA is filed under the name uncultured bacterium. Its description in RNAcentral is "partial 16S ribosomal RNA". It matches the Rfam family "Bacterial small subunit ribosomal RNA", at positions 28 to 507 of the family's 1533-position model. The record is from RNAcentral.